RNAcentral lists this ribosomal RNA (253 nucleotides) under uncultured bacterium. Its description in RNAcentral is "partial 16S ribosomal RNA". It matches the Rfam family "Bacterial small subunit ribosomal RNA", at positions 524 to 776 of the family's 1533-position model. The record is from RNAcentral.
UACGAAGGGGGCUAGCGUUGCUCGGGAUUACUGGGCGUAAAGGGAGCGUAGGCGGACAUUUAAGUCAGAGGUGAAAUCCCGGAGCUCAACUCCGGAACUGCCUUUGAUACUGGGUGUCUUGAGUGUGAGAGAGGUAUGUGGAACUCCGAGUGUAGAGGUGAAAUUCGUAGAUAUUCGGAAGAACACCAGUGGCGAAGGCGACAUACUGGCUCAUUACUGACGCUGAGGCUCGAAAGCGUGGGGAGCAAACAGG